Molecule: non-coding RNA, 45 nt
Organism: Schistosoma haematobium
Lineage: Eukaryota; Metazoa; Platyhelminthes; Trematoda; Strigeidida; Schistosomatidae
Source: Rfam
ACCUUGCUGACGAGUGCCAGGUAGGACGAAACAUAGGUCCAGGGU